This 810-nucleotide ribosomal RNA is filed under the name uncultured organism. RNAcentral describes it as "bacterial SSU rRNA". It matches the Rfam family "Bacterial small subunit ribosomal RNA", at positions 680 to 1488 of the family's 1533-position model. The record is from RNAcentral.
GGUGGAAUGCGUAGAUAUCAAGAGGAACGCCAGUGGCGAAAGCGACUUGCUAGGCCUGUCCGGACGCUGAGGUGCGAAAGCCAGGGGAGCGAACGGGAUUAGAUACCCCGGUAGUCCUGGCCCUAAACGAUGUCCACUAGGUCGGAGGUUCUCUGACGGAUUUCCGGCCGAAACGAAAGCGUUAAGUGGACCGCCUGGGGAGUACGGUCGCAAGGCUAAAACUCAAAGGAAUUGACGGGGGCUCACACAAGCGGUGGAGCAUGUUGCUUAAUUCGAUGCAACGCGAAGAACCUUAUCCUGGGCUUGACAUGUUCGGAUGCCCUCCUGGAAACAGGUCGGGUUGCCCUUCGGGGUGAAACGUUCACAGGUGCUGCAUGGCUGUCGUCAGCUCGUGUCGUGAGAUGUUGGGUUAAGUCCCGUAACGAGCGAAACCCUUGUCGUUAGUUGCCAGCGCGUCAUGGCGGGGACUCUAACGAGACUGCCGGUGUUAAACCGGAGGAAGGUGGGGAUGACGUCAAGUCCUCAUGGCCUUUAUGCCCAGGGCCGCAAACGUGCUACAAUGGCCGAUACAAACCGACGCAAGACCGCGAGGUGGAGCAAAUCGGAAAAAGUCGGCCCCAGUUCGGAUUGGAGUCUGCAACUCGACUCCAUGAAGUCGGAAUCGCUAGUAAUCGUGGAUCAGCGACGCCACGGUGAAUGUGUUCCUGAGCCUUGUACACACCGCCCGUCAAGUCAUGGAAGCUGGGAGCAACCCGAAGUCGGGGCGAUUCAGCCCUGCCGAAGGUGAGCUCGGUAACUGGGACUAAGUCG